ACUCAACAAUGCCUGCUCCUCUCUGACUGCACCGCCCCGCCGCCGACGCCCAGUAGAGCCCCCGGGGCGGUCCCCACCGACGGCGCAGCCCGCCGGGACCGGGAGAAAGCAGCUGCGGACACCGCGCCCGUGCGUCUGCGCGCCUGGCCGCCAGGUGACCCAGCAGCCCGGCCGCCGAGAUGCCCAACCCGCCCAGGCUCCGGGCGCUGUGACUUCGCGCCGCUGUGUGCGCCUCCCCGAGCGCCGGCUGCGCCCCCCAGCCCGGCCCGGGGCCUACCGCCUGCCCGGCCCCCUGCCACUGCCAGGAGGACGGCAUCAUGCUGUCUGCCGACUGCUCUUGAGCUUGGGCUGUCCGCCAUACCGGGGGACCUGGAUCCCCUGACGGCUUACCUAGCAGUGCCCAGGAUGGUGGCUGAGGGUAAAGCUGACAGAACUGGAGGUGGAGGUGAGGGGAGCGUGCCCCAGUGGGGUGGAAAUAAUGUCUGUUCUUCUGCCAUGGAAGUAGCAGGCCAGAGAGGACUCGAAGAUCCUUAGAAGGAGCCAUAGACGGAACCAUAGGAGGCGCCCAGGAGCUAUGGGCUCCAGAAGUUUCCUCCUAAACUGUGGUCUCAGCGAGGCUCAUUGACACUCACCGGGGUUUCGACAUUCUCCCUGGCUAGGGCCUGUUCUGGAAAUAGACCAAGGGGGAGAUGGAGCCCCUGGCCGUGGGACAUCCAAUCUGAUGGUGAUGAGAAGGCUGCUCAGGACCGAGGCUGAGACGGGCGACCAGGACGGGAUUGUAUGGCUGCAGGAGGCUACACAGUCCCAGGAGGCUGCUUCUAAGAGGCCCACGUGGCCUGCAUGGGGAUGCGCCUGGCUGUCCAGCAUGUGGUCAUUUGAAUUGUACAUGUUUCACUGGGAUGCCUACAGAAAAGUAGACAGAAGAUGUGGAAAAAGUUUUUGAAAUGUUGCAAACUUAGCUACUUUUAAAAUAAAAAAAAUAGCUUUAUAAUUAUAAAAGCAAUAUGUAAAUCUUAAAAUAAUUUGCUACAUUCUAGUAAGCAUCUUAUGAUCUCUAUGUGCCCUAUAACAUUAUGUUGUAUAGUUUAAAUAUAUACAAUAAAAUCUAUUUUAAAAAAUAGCAGGCAAUUAAAUCUCAUUUUAAAAAGAGUCAGUUUAACUCCCUUCUAAUUUCUACCCCUCGUUUUCCCUCUGUGUGUGUGUAUGUGUGUAUGUCAUCUUCGUUAAAUGGCUCAAUGCAUUCCGAAUAUUUUUUCCGUUGUCUUCAUGAUAUAUUCAUGGGAAGGGGAGUAUGUGGCUUAUUGCUGUUAGUUUAUCAAUAGAGAAUGCUGGCCAAAUGUCUUUAAGAGUAAUGACGAUCUCAAUAGCGGUAAUGACAGCUACCACUUUCGGAGCUCCUCCUGCCUACCAGGCACCACUGGGGUCCCUCUCUGCAGCCCCUCACGCCAUCCUCCUAGUCACUUUCUGAGGUGUGUGUGGUCAUCCUCCCAUUUGCAGGAGGGCUCUGAAGCACAGGAAGGUUCGAUACUUACCCCAUGGCCGGGAUAAGAUGGGCCAGGGCCAGGCUGUGAACUAAGGCAGAGAAGGGGCUCUCCAGCACCUUUCCUGAGCCCUUGCCUCCUCUGCCUCUGCCCCAUGGCCAUCUGGUGGGUGGACACAGCUAAGCCAUGGCUAGAACCCAGCAUUCUCAUGACUGCUUUAACCAUAGAAAAUCACAAGUUGCAAGCAACGGGACACACAUUUACUUGUCUACAUUAGCACUUGUGAUGAAGAUAAUUCAUGCUAUUUUUUUCCCCAUUCGGAACGUACCUGUCCUUAGAAUAGUUAGAGAAGUUUUAUGAGGAUUGUGUAACUAGCAUUAACUUAGGUCACCUAAUUCUUGAUCAACCAAAUCGCAGGUCAAACAAAGGAGGCCUAUGCCUUCAUAGAAAGCAUCAGUUAAUGUCCAUUUAAAAACUGAUGCUGGCCGGGCCCGGUGGCUCAUGCCUGUAAUCCCAGCACUUUGGGAGGCCGAGGCGGGUGGAUCACGAGCUCAGGAGAUCGAGACCAUCCUGGCUAACACGGUGAAAACCCAUCUCUAUUAAAAAUACAAAAAUUAGCUGGGCGUGGUGGCACAUGCCUGUAAUCCCAGCUACUUGGGAGGCUGAAGCAGGGAGAAUUGCUUGAACUCUGGAGGUGAAGGUUACAGUGAACCAAGAUCGUGUCAUUUCACUACAGCCUGGGUGACAGAGCGAAAGUCUGUCUCAAAAAAAAAAAACAAACAAACUGAUGUUGCAUCUUCCAGUCUAAAAUAAAAAUACAUUGUUAACCAUUUUUAUGUUUACAAAACCUACAGUUUUAUAGUUCUAAAAGUAGUACAUGUUCAUUACUU
This 2371-nucleotide long non-coding RNA is filed under the name Homo sapiens (human). RNAcentral describes it as "non-protein coding lnc-CENPP-20:14". Lineage: Eukaryota; Metazoa; Chordata; Mammalia; Primates; Hominidae. The record is from RNAcentral.